This 924-nucleotide unclassified non-coding RNA is filed under the name Hevea brasiliensis (rubber tree). The record is from RNAcentral. Lineage: Eukaryota; Viridiplantae; Streptophyta; Magnoliopsida; Malpighiales; Euphorbiaceae.
AUUACAAAACUGGCCAAGGUUAGACCAACGUAAAUCCAUGUUCUCCUACUGUACAUUUAGGCCCAAAAGAAACUAGAAAAAGAGGAACGAUUGCCAUUAAAAGUCAACAUCCAAGUUUUUAACCCACAGCGUCAUCUCCUGUCACCCAUUCACUGCAUACUAAAAGUGUAUUGAUUCAUCAGACCAUUGAAUGAUGUUCCAAAGGAGCUCAAUCCAUAGAUCAUCGCACCAGCAGCAUAAUAAGGUGCCAUAUAUCCUUCCAACCCCACCUGUGCACCAACCCAGUAUGGAUUGUAUGCAUAAGAACCAAUAGGCAUCAUAUAGCUCUCAGUCUCAACAUCUUGACUUCUUUCUCUCUUUUUCUUUCCUCUCGCACCACAAACCACCUUUUGCUUGACUUCACCCUUGACCACUUCUCUCUCGUCCUUUUUCUUCUCUACCUCACUGGAAAUCUCCUUUUGCUGCACUUUUUCCUCAACCCCCAUGACACCUCCUUGUGAUGCUGUAUCUUUCAUUCUCAUUGGCCCAAUAGUAUCUUCAGAUACAUUAGUUGCUCCUGUAGUUCUAGCUUUCUUAGUUGUCUGGUGUGGAGCGUCAAUAAGUUUUCUUUUAUUUGCCCCAUCUUCUACAUCACCAGGUGAUGGCUUCUGCUCUUCCUGAAAUGAUUCUGCAGAUGGUUUUGUUGUAGAGAUCUGAGGUUCUGAACAGUGAGCCAAUUCCAUAUCCUUAUCUUGGAAAGAGUUUCUUUUGGCAUUUUCACCACUGCUGCUGUAACAAGGACCAGAUUUCACAAUGCAAUUAAUUGUGUCCCUAAGCGUCAUGUUUGGAAUCAGAUAAUCAGUAAGGAUAUUUGUUGCCCCACAAACACAUUUCAACUUAGAGGUGAUUAGAUGAACCCUGAUACACUUAUCACAAAAGCUCUUG